Molecule: long non-coding RNA, 863 nt
Organism: Gallus gallus (chicken)
Lineage: Eukaryota; Metazoa; Chordata; Aves; Galliformes; Phasianidae
Source: Ensembl
AGCAGGUAGUGUGCAGUAAUGAUAAGAAUGUGCCGGAGGCCAUGAAGGAUUGAUAUCUACUUCAGAAAUACUCAGAAGCAAUGGCUUUCUUUCCCCUCCCCAUGUCCAGUGACAAGAGGAAAUUCCCUCCUGAAAUGCUUCAGCAAAUUUCUCAGCCUUCUCCAGAGCCUUAAUCUUGGAUCUCUCUCUGCUCAAGAUGGAAAGAGGGCUAUCUGUGAUCCAAACAGAACAGGGCUGCCUCUGCCCUGCCAGCCUUAUGUUCACAGCCUCAGCGGAGCUCCCAGCAUGCUGAAACUGGUGUCCAAGAGCCUUGCUGAGAGGACACACUGAAAACAAGACUUCAAAGGACCAGCUACUUGCAGAAGGCCCUGACAAACGUGGAUGUGAAGAAGCUGUACUGGGCAUGCUGGAUGUUGGGUGCAGCAGCUCACCUGUAUACAUGCAAAGCUCCUGCCAAGCUGAGAUCUGGGAUCGGUUGGUGAGUUUGUAGUUCAGGGGUCAUGAGAUAGGAAAAGUUGUUUUUUAUUUGUAGAAAUCAACAAACAAAAGGAAAUCUUAAAAAAAAAAAAAAAAAAAAAAGUAAUUUUGGGUUCAUCUUAGACAUGUUUGCCCAAGGCAGUGCCUUUUUAUUUUCAAGCACUUUAAUCAAAAACAAUUACGUUAUAUUUCAUUUUUCAAAGUGGAAAACAAAGACGUACCAGUUACAAAUAGCAAUUGAAACAGAAGAAGAGUAGAGUGCAUUCCAUUGCUAAGGAGAAAAAUGCUGGAACAAAAUAUUUCAAAAUUUUCAGAAAGAUCUGUUUUGGUAAGGUCAAAAAUAUUUGUCUCCAUCAAACCAAGCCCAUCAAUAGCUCUGCCUCCUC